AUACUAAAAUUGGAUCGAUACAGAGAAGAUUAGCAUGGCCCCUGCGAAAGGAUGACACGCAAAUCCGUGAAGCGCUCCUUAUUUUC
Molecule: small nuclear RNA, 86 nt
Filed under: Salmo salar (Atlantic salmon)
Lineage: Eukaryota; Metazoa; Chordata; Actinopteri; Salmoniformes; Salmonidae
Source: RNAcentral